This 380-nucleotide long non-coding RNA is filed under the name Mytilus galloprovincialis (Mediterranean mussel). The record is from RNAcentral. Lineage: Eukaryota; Metazoa; Mollusca; Bivalvia; Mytilida; Mytilidae.
CAUUUGAAACAAACAGAAAUAAUCUCUAAUAUAUCAAUCCUACUUCUUCGUCUGUAAGCACGCUGCUGCAGCCUACGUUUUCUAAUGCUUAAUCGAGACAUCUUUAGUAUCUUUAAACUACUGCAAAUCAUCAAUAUGUAUUUCAUAAAGAAGCAACCACUUAACUUCCAAAAAGGGGGGGGGUGUAAUUUGUUUAUUUAUCUGAGUCAGAUUUUUUUCACGCAAACGUUUUAUUUCCUUUUUUUUCGAUGCUGGUAAUUUUUUUCAACAUUUAACACUAUAAAUUAUGUAUGGGGAAACUCUUGAUUCAGAAUAUUUUUUUAUCAUCAGUAGGACCAGAAUUUUUUUGUAUCCAAUUGAGGUUGGGAAUAUUACCACCC